Molecule: non-coding RNA, 79 nt
Organism: Podarcis lilfordi (Lilford's wall lizard)
Lineage: Eukaryota; Metazoa; Chordata; Lepidosauria; Squamata; Lacertidae
Source: the annotation of a GenBank genome assembly
UCACCAGAAAUAGCUCAGUCGGUAAAGCAUGAGACUCUUAAUCUCAGGGUUGUGGGUUCGAGCCCCACAUUGUGCAAAA